Molecule: ribosomal RNA, 194 nt
Filed under: uncultured bacterium
Lineage: Bacteria
Description: partial 16S ribosomal RNA
Rfam family: Bacterial small subunit ribosomal RNA
Source: RNAcentral
CCUACGGGAGGCAGCAGUCGAGAAUAAUCCACAAUGGGGGAAACCCUGAUGGUGCAACGCCGCGUGGAGGAUGAAGGUCUUCGGAUUGUAAACUCCUGUCAUCCGGGAGUAAGACCUGGGCGUGAAUAGCGCACAGGGUUGAUAGUACCGGAAGAGGAAGGGACGGCUAAUUUCGUGCCAGCAGCCGCGGUAAU